AAUAAAAAAACCCUGAUUUUCGUGUGUAAUGUUUGACCGUCCGUCUUAUUUAAAAAAAUUAUAAAAAAAUUAAAAAGAUAAGUCACGUAUAAAGUAUUAAUCAUGUUUUAUCAUCUAACAAUAAUAAAAAUACCAAAUAUAAACAAAUUUCAUAUAAGACGAACGGUCAAACGUUGACACGGAAAUUCAGGGUUUGUUUUUUU
Non-coding RNA from Oryza glaberrima (African rice), 203 nucleotides. Lineage: Eukaryota; Viridiplantae; Streptophyta; Magnoliopsida; Poales; Poaceae. The record is from Rfam.